RNAcentral lists this ribosomal RNA (239 nucleotides) under Escherichia coli. Its description in RNAcentral is "partial 23S ribosomal RNA". It matches the Rfam family "Bacterial large subunit ribosomal RNA", at positions 2118 to 2356 of the family's 2925-position model. The record is from RNAcentral. Lineage: Bacteria; Pseudomonadati; Pseudomonadota; Gammaproteobacteria; Enterobacterales; Enterobacteriaceae.
UGAACAUUGAGCCUUGAUGUGUAGGAUAGGUGGGAGGCUUUGAAGUGUGGACGCCAGUCUGCAUGGAGCCGACCUUGAAAUACCACCCUUUAAUGUUUGAUGUUCUAACGUGGACCCGUAAUCCGGGUUGCGGACAGUGUCUGGUGGGUAGUUUGACUGGGGCGGUCUCCUCCUAAAGAGUAACGGAGGAGCACGAAGGUUGGCUAAUCCUGGUCGGACAUCAGGAGGUUAGUGCAAUG